UUGCCCGAAUCCUGACACAGGGAGGUAGUGACAAGAAAUAACAAUACAGGGCUACUUCUAGUCUUGUAAUUGGAAUGAGUACAACUUACAUCUCUUCACGAGGAUCAACUGGAGGGCAAGUCUGGUGCCAGCAGCCGCGGUAAUUCCAGCUCCAGAAGCGUAUAUUAAAGUUGUUGCAGUUAAAACGCUCGUAGUCGGGUUUCGGGUCGGGCCGAGCGGUCUGCCGAUGGGUAUGCACUGUUUGGCGCGGCCUUCUUUCCGGAGACCGCGGCUACUCUUAACUGAGCGGGCGUGGGAGACGGAUCGUUUACUUUGAAAAAAUCAGAGUGUUUCAAGCAGGCAGCUCGCUCUUGCAUGGUACAGCAUGGGAUGAUUGAAUAGGACUCCGGUGCUAUUUUGUUGGUUUCGAACACCAGGAGUAAUGAUUAACAGGGACAGUCAGGGGCACUCGUAUUCCGUCGAGAGAGAUGAAAUUCUCAGACCAAUGGAAGACGAACCACUGCGAAAGCAUUUGCCAGGGAUGUUUUCACUGAUCAAGAACGAAAGUUAGGGGAUCGAAGACGAUCAGAUACCGUCGUAGUCUUAACCAUAAACCAUGCCGACUAGGGAUUGGAGGGUGUUCGUUUCGACCUCUUCAGCACCUUACGGGAAACUAAAGUCUUUGGGUUCCGGGGGGAGUAUGGUCGCAAGGCUGAAACUUAAAGGAAUUGACGGAAGGGCACCACCAGGAGUGGAGCCUGCGGCUUAAUUUGACUCAACACGGGGAAACUUACCAGGUCCAGACAUUGUUAGGAUUGACAGAUUGAGAGCUCUUUCUUGA
This 820-nucleotide ribosomal RNA is filed under the name uncultured marine Phaeocystaceae. RNAcentral's name for it is "SSU rRNA". It matches the Rfam family "Eukaryotic small subunit ribosomal RNA", at positions 441 to 1265 of the family's 1831-position model. The record is from RNAcentral. Lineage: Eukaryota; Haptophyta; Phaeocystales; Phaeocystaceae.